GCUGGGCACAGUGGUGCAUGCCUGUAAUCCCAGAGAUUGGAGGCUGAGGCAGGAGGAUCACAAAUUUGAGAUCAGCCUCAGCAAUUUAGCCAGCCCCUGUCUCAA
RNAcentral lists this small RNA (105 nucleotides) under Marmota monax (woodchuck). Lineage: Eukaryota; Metazoa; Chordata; Mammalia; Rodentia; Sciuridae. The record is from RNAcentral.